This 407-nucleotide ribosomal RNA is filed under the name uncultured bacterium. RNAcentral's name for it is "partial 16S ribosomal RNA". It matches the Rfam family "Bacterial small subunit ribosomal RNA", at positions 30 to 526 of the family's 1533-position model. The record is from RNAcentral.
AUUGAACGCUGGCGGCAGGCCUAACACAUGCAAGUCGAGCGGAGCGGCGGACGGGUGAGUAAUGCCUAGGAAUCUGCCUGGUAGUGGGGGAUAACGUCCGGAAACGGGCGCUAAUACCGCAUACUAUCAGAUGAGCCUCGGCCGUAUUAGCUAGUUGGUGGGGUAAAGGCCUACCAGGGCGACGAUCCGAAACUGGUCUGAGAGGAUGAUCAGUCACAUUGGAACUGAGACACGGUCCAGACUCCUACGGGAGGCAGCAGUGGGGAAUAUUGGACAAUGGGCGAAAGCCUGAUCCAGCAAGGCCGCGUGUGUGAAGAAGGUCUUCGGAUUGUAAAGCACUUUAAGUUGGGAGGCGUUACCAACAGAAUAAGCACCGGCUAACUACGUGCCAGCAGCCGCGGUAAUUC